Hydra vulgaris (swiftwater hydra) is the source of this 596-nucleotide non-coding RNA. NCBI's taxonomy places the organism in Eukaryota, Metazoa, Cnidaria, Hydrozoa, Anthoathecata, Hydridae. The record is from RefSeq and is a predicted model, not a curated record.
UGCUCUGGCUAAAUUUUUCAAUGAAAAAACAAUAUGUGUGCUAUGAAUGUAAAUUCUUUUUCAUGGCCUAUCAAUGAAAGUUUGGUGUAUUGGCCAAAUCACUUGCAAGCAUCUUGCCUUUAAACUGCCAUACGUAAAGUCACGCUUUUAAAAGUAACUGAAAGCAGCUGAAAAUACGAAUUUUUUUAUGAACUUUCUUACUUCGGUUGGAGGAGAUGAGAAACAACUUACAGCGGCAAUCUUAAUACAGCUAAUGGUCAAAGAAGUAUGUUUUUCAUACUCAGUGUAUGGAAUGAAACAAAAACGUCCUGCAAGAUCGUUAUAGAGUUGCGUUCAGUUUUUUAUCGUUGUAUUCAUUCAUUUCGAAAUCGCUACUGACAAAAGUAUUAAAGAAAAAGUUGGCAGCUUUCUGGCGACAGCCAUUAAUAGAGAUUAUGGAAGAAAAAUAGAACCGUAACUUAGCAACGCCCAAUAUUCAGCAAUGAAAUAAGUAUCGCCAAUAUAAUAAAAGUCGAUGCCCACUAUCUCAUAGUGAGAGUAUAAUACAGUAGUUUAUAUAUAUAUGAGAGUAGUUUAUAUAUAUAUAUGAGAGUAUA